This 252-nucleotide ribosomal RNA is filed under the name uncultured bacterium. Its description in RNAcentral is "partial 16S ribosomal RNA". It matches the Rfam family "Bacterial small subunit ribosomal RNA", at positions 524 to 776 of the family's 1533-position model. The record is from RNAcentral.
UACGUAGGGGGCUAGCGUUGUCCGGAAUCACUGGGCGUAAAGCGCACGUAGGCGGCUUUUUAAGUCAGGGGUGAAAUCCUGGAGCUCAACUCCAGAACUGCCUUUGAUACUGAAAAGCUUGAGUCCGGGAGAGGUGAGUGGAACUGCGAGUGUAGAGGUGAAAUUCGUAGAUAUUCGCAAGAACACCAGUGGCGAAGGCGGCUCACUGGCCCGUACUGACGCUGAGGUGCGAAAGCGUGGGGAGCAAACAGG